This 253-nucleotide ribosomal RNA is filed under the name uncultured bacterium. RNAcentral's name for it is "partial 16S ribosomal RNA". It matches the Rfam family "Bacterial small subunit ribosomal RNA", at positions 524 to 776 of the family's 1533-position model. The record is from RNAcentral.
UACGGAGGAUGCAAGCGUUAUCCGGAAUUAUUGGGCGUAAAGCGUCCGUAGGUGGUUGAGUAAGUCUGCUGUUAAAGCGUGGAGCCUAACUCCAUAUCGGCAGUGGAAACUACUUGACUUGAAUGCGGUAGGGGUCAGGGGAAUUCCCAGUGUAGCGGUGAAAUGCGUAGAUAUUGGGAAGAACACCGGUGGCGAAAGCGCCUGACUGGGCCUGCACUGACACUGAGGGACGAAAGCUAGGGGAGCGAAAGGG